CAGUAACGGCGAGUGAAGCGGCAACAGCUCAAAUUUGAAAUCUGGCUCUCGGGCCCGAGUUGUAAUUUGUAGAGGAUGCUUUUGGUGAGGUGCCUUCCGAGUUCCCUGGAACGGGACGCCAUAGAGGGUGAGAGCCCCGUCUGGUUGGACACCGAUCCUCUGUAAAGCUCCUUCGACGAGUCGAGUAGUUUGGGAAUGCUGCUCUAAAUGGGAGGUAUAUGUCUUCUAAAGCUAAAUACCGGCCAGAGACCGAUAGCGCACAAGUAGAGUGAUCGAAAGAUGAAAAGAACUUUGAAAAGAGAGUUAAACAGUACGUGAAAUUGUUGAAAGGGAAGCGCUUGUGACCAGACUUGGGCUUGGUUGAUCAUCCGGGGUUCUCCCCGGUGCACUCUUCCGGCCCAGGCCAGCAUCAGUUCGCCCUGGGGGACAAAGGCUUCGGGAAUGUGGCUCUCUCCGGGGAGUGUUAUAGCCCGUUGCGUAAUACCCUGUGGCGGACUGAGGUUCGCGCAUUCGCAAGGAU
Molecule: ribosomal RNA, 520 nt
Filed under: Fusarium keratoplasticum
Lineage: Eukaryota; Fungi; Ascomycota; Sordariomycetes; Hypocreales; Nectriaceae
Description: partial large subunit ribosomal RNA
Rfam family: Eukaryotic large subunit ribosomal RNA
Source: RNAcentral